Molecule: long non-coding RNA, 379 nt
Filed under: Mytilus galloprovincialis (Mediterranean mussel)
Lineage: Eukaryota; Metazoa; Mollusca; Bivalvia; Mytilida; Mytilidae
Source: RNAcentral
CAUGACCAAAAUGGUCAGUUGACCCGUUUAGGAGUUAUUGCCCUUUAUAGUCAAUUUUUAACCAUUUUUCGUUAAUUAAAGUAAUCUUUUACAAAAAUCUUCUCCUCUGAAACUACUUGGCCAAAUUAAUCCAAACUUGGCCACAAUCAUCUUUGGGGUAUCUAGUUUAAAAAAUAUGUGGCGUGACCUGGUCAACCAACCAAGAUGGCCGCCACGGCUAAAAAUAGAACAAAGGGGUAAAAUGCAGUUUUUGGCUUAUAACUCAAAAACCAAAGCAUUUUGAGGAAAUCUGACAUGGGAUAAAAAUGUUUAUCAGGUCAAGAUCUAUCUGCCCUUAAAUUUUCAGAUGAAUCGGUCAAUCGGUUGUUGGGUUGCUGCC